GAUGAACGCUGGCGGCGUGCCUAAUACCUGCAAGUCGAGCGAACGGACGAGAAGCUUGCUUUUCUGAUGUUAGCGGCGGACGGGUGAGUAACACGUGGAUAACCUACCUAUAAGACUGGGAUAACUUCGGGAAACCGGAGCUAAUACCGGAUAAUAUUUUGAACCGCAUGGUUCAAAAGUGAAAGACGGUCUUGCUGUCACUUAUAGAUGGAUCCGCGCUGCAUUAGCUAGUUGGUAAGGUAACGGCUUACCAAGGCAACGAUGCAUAGCCGACCUGAGAGGGUGAUCGGCCACACUGGAACUGAGACACGGUCCAGACUCCUACGGGAGGCAGCAGUAGGGAAUCUUCCGCAAUGGGCGAAAGCCUGACGGAGCAACGCCGCGUGAGUGAUGAAGGUCUUCGGAUCGUAAAACUCUGUUAUUAGGGAAGAACAUAUGUGUAAGUAACUGUGCACAUCUUGACGGUACCUAAUCAGAAAGCCACGGCUAACUACGUG
Molecule: ribosomal RNA, 497 nt
Filed under: uncultured bacterium
Lineage: Bacteria
Description: partial 16S ribosomal RNA
Rfam family: Bacterial small subunit ribosomal RNA
Source: RNAcentral